CUUUGAAAGCUUGGAUUUUAGCACAUAAGAAAGUCUGAUAAAAUAAAUCUGGACAUCCAAAGGGUUGUUGGGUAUCGCCAAUGGUGUAAUAAACUUUGGAAUGCUGUGCGAUUUGCCAUGAGCAAACUUGGAGAUAAUUACACCCCUCCAACAAAUGUGGUUCCAGAUAUCAUGCCAUUUAACUGCCAGUGGAUUCUCUCCGUGUUGAACAAGGCCAUAUCAAAAACUGUGACAUCACUGGACUCGUAUGAAUUUUCUGAUGCUGCUACUGUAGUAUAUUCAUGGUGGCAGUUCCAGUUGUGUGAUGUGUUUAUUGAAGCCGCCAAGCCCUACUUUGCCAGUGAUGCUCAAGCAUUUGCUUUUGAAAGGAGUUAUGCACAAGACACCUUGUCGGUGUGUCUGGAAUAACUAAUUGGAUGAUGGGUUCUAUUGCUGUUUGUUUUGGUUGUUUAUCAUUUAUAAUGUGCUGGACAAAUGAGAAAGUAGAGUAUGAGAUGGAUAUGAUUGAGUCAGCCGUGAAAUCACUCAGGUCACUCAGGGCGUUGAUGCCUGCAAAAGAAAGGCAUGAAAGCACUCUCCGGUUGGCGUGAUGAGUUACGUAAAGACAUUGAACAGCUGUGUAUGCAGCAAGCUGGUCCUGGUUACCUUGCUGUGGCUACUCGAAUGCAUUUUCAGAGGACAGCUGGCUUGGAGCAGGAGAUUGAGAGCUUGAAAAAGAAGUUAACUGCUUGCACUAGAGAGAAGUUAAAUCUCCAAGAGGAGCUUUCUCAAGUCCUUCCUGUAACAUUGAUGGGAAGGGCUGGGGAUGGUUUGAAAUAAAACAAACUUCACAUGACACAACUCCUGUUUCUAGCACUAGGACAAAAUUUUACAUUCCUUAAUGAGCUAAGAUUAGCUCUAAUAUCACCCAUUUCUAUCUUCUUGACUCCUUUCCCUUCCAAACAUGAUACAUAGUACCAGCAAGGGUCAACCUGUAAACAUAAUCUGUAAUAGCCUUACCUCCACACUCUUCAGCAAAAGUCAGGCAUUCUUCUACCAGGAAGAAUUCUCCUCAAAAGAACAGUCCAAGUAUAUGCUGAAAAAUAUUAACAAAAAAAUAAAUGAUCGUGAUCAAACCCAUUGCACAAUACACACAUGUUUUCAGAAACAAUCCCCCACUUAAACAUUCUAUCCAUUGUAGCCAGUCCUCACUGAACAGCAACCCAUUACACAAAGCUCCACUUAGGAACAUUUUGAGGCAACCAUGCCAAUUUAUGUCAAGGGACGAUAGGGUAUAGUGUUUGAAUUGCUUGCCACGCUAUUCACCAUUACUAGAGGGUAGCCAAAACACGGAGUCAGGCCUAUUAGGAUUCAAUACAAAGCUAGCAGGGUAUUAGCUUCAAUCUCAGAACAGCAACCAAUUGCACAAAGCUCCACUUAGCAACAUUUUGAGGAAACCAUGCCAAUUUAUGUCAAGGGACGAUAGGGAAUACCAUUUGAAUUGCUUGCCAAGCUGAAGCCACAUUAUAUUCACCAUUACUAGAGGGUAGCCAAAACACUGAGUCAGGCCUAUUAGGAUUCGAUACGAAGCUAGCAGGGGUAUUAGCUUUAAUCUCAGUAAUAACCACUCUUCUACCUCUAGGCCACUUCCAAUUCCCAAAAUUAAUGAUAAGAGGAAACUCUGCUAUUCACAGCCAUGCCCAUAUGAAAAGCAACCCUUUCCCCAUAUUUCUUAUUCAAAGGACCCAAGGGAUGCCAAUUAUCAAAUCGCGGAAAUGUAACAGUCCCAUCACCAAUGAUAUAUUGAUCAAAGGCUGCCCCACAGCUCUUAGUUCAAAAAACUUCCUGACAGUCCAAGAUGCCUCAGUAGGAAGACACUUACCCUUAAUUACACAAGUAUGGACCCACUUAACCCACAAAGAAUCAGCUUUCUUACUUAAAGCCCACAAAGGUUGUCUUAGCAUAGUGGCCUUAUUCCACUCUCUCAAAUUUCUGAAUCCCAAGCCCUCUUCAGCCUUUGGUGCACAAAUAUGCAUC
Non-coding RNA from Camellia sinensis, 2016 nucleotides. NCBI's taxonomy places the organism in Eukaryota, Viridiplantae, Streptophyta, Magnoliopsida, Ericales, Theaceae. The record is from RefSeq and is a predicted model, not a curated record.